Molecule: non-coding RNA, 135 nt
Organism: Parastrongyloides trichosuri
Lineage: Eukaryota; Metazoa; Nematoda; Chromadorea; Rhabditida; Strongyloididae
Source: Rfam
AGCUUUGCGCAUGGGCGAUAACGUGACCAAUGAGGCCUAGCUGAGGUGCGUUUAUUGCUGGUUGAAAACUUUAACCAAUUGCCCGCUACGGGGAUUAAUAAUCUCCCGUAGCAAUUUUUGGAAGGCGGAAACGCC